UACGUAGGGGGCAAGCGUUGUCCGGAUUUAUUGGGCGUAAAGAGCGUGUAGGCGGCCUGACAGGUCUGCUGUGAAAACUCGAGGCUCAACCUCGAGAUGUCGGCGGAAACCAUCUGGCUAGAGUCCGGAAGAGGAGAGUGGAAUUCCUGGUGUAGCGGUGGAAUGCGUAGAGAUCCGGAAGAACACCGGUGGCGAAGGCGGCUCGCUGGGCAGUGGCUGACGCUGAGGCGCGACAGCGUGGGGAGCAAACAGG
RNAcentral lists this ribosomal RNA (253 nucleotides) under uncultured bacterium. Its description in RNAcentral is "partial 16S ribosomal RNA". It matches the Rfam family "Bacterial small subunit ribosomal RNA", at positions 524 to 776 of the family's 1533-position model. The record is from RNAcentral.